AGAAAAAAAAAAACGCAGAUAUAGAGAGAGAAGCAAAGAGUUCCAAUACUCCAAAAAAAUAAAAUGCAGAUACAGAGAGAGAAGGAGAGAGUUCCCUCGCCAGACUCAAAGCACCACUGCAAGCAGAAAGAAAAAUCUAUGGGCAUCACCGCAUCAACACCGUUAGGCUAUAUAUCUGCCACUAUAAGAUUGUCGGAACCGGCUCCGGUCUGGAGAGGGCAAAGACAGAGAAACGAGAGAGAUCGUGAAUAGGUGCGCAAAUAGAGUUGGAAUUUGUCAUGUAAUUACAGCUAUAAUUAUUGUUUCUUUGUGUAUUAUUGUUAUUUCCUUUUAUGCAUGUUUUGAUCUCAUGUUGGAUCGAUAAAGAGUUGCAAUUGUUAAUUAACCAUCUUCUAUUGCAUUUAUUUUUAAAUGAAUUUCCUUUUCGUUUGUUACUACCUGAUUAGAGAUUACUUAAAAAAAAAAAUCAAAGAACAGAGUCAAUAUUAGGCAAACUUCCCAAUAAUGAAUCCUCCUACCAUCAUCAUGUCAGAAUCGCUACCUGUAAGUUUCUCUCUUCAUUUUUUAGUUUGUUCAUUAAAUAUGAUCAUAAUUUGAUAUUUUAUUUGGAGUGGUUUCGAUUUAGGUCUUUUUCAUUUGUGCAUUAAAUAUGAUCAAGUUUUUUUAUAAUUGUUUGGAUUGGUUUCAGUUUAGGUCUUUGUGUCUCUAUCACCGAUGGCUGCCAUAUUUUUAAAGAAGAAAAGAAAAGAGCCUUCAGUUGAGAUAAUGAACCCGUUAAGAAUGUUACACUAUUUAAACAUAGAAGAAAAACAGAGAUUGAAAGAGAGAUAAAUCUCAGGGCAGCCACCAUCGUCAUGAAGCGGGAACUGUUACUGGUGAAAAGGCAAAUCCUUGGAAGCAAUCCAAGUUUGAGUAGGAACAGUACUACCAGGUAUAGUUUCCACUUUAUUUGAACAAUCACUGGUAAUUUUCUUUUUAAUUGAGUGUUAAAUAUGCUUUAUGUUUGGAUAUUUGGUUGGAUUGAUUGAUUUAGGUAUUUGGGUUAGAGAAAUUAUUUUUUGUUUAUUUGUUUUUGUAUUGGAUUUUAGGAUUGAAAUGGUUCGGGGCUGUUAUGUGAUUAAUUUUACAGUCUGCAUACUAUGCUACCAAGCAUAUCUAUGUUGCUAGAUACUGCUUAUGAGUUAUUCUUUUACACAUUUCUUAUAUGAGUUAUUCUGCUCUUUUUUCUAUUCAUAUAUAGGACUUCUUCUAGAUGUUUCUUUGCAUAUAUCUUAUUUGAAUUUUCUUCAACAAAAUAUACCCGAGGCCAUAACAUAAUUUUUUCCCUUCUUCAAAUAUUGUUUCUGCUCGUAGUUUAUGCAAUUCCCAGUUCAUUGUUUUCCCACAAUUGUUUUUCCUAUUCAAAUACUGUUACUUUGAUUGCAUAGUUAAUUGAUGGGGUUAUGCUCCUCCUUUGGAUGCUUUCCUUUGGCAUAUAUAACCUUUGGCUUUCUAUUUGUUUUCUAAUUUAUUUUGUGGUUUUUUUUAAUGUUUAAUUGAAAUGUCUUUCGUUAAUAUUUCCUUUACCUUUCUGCUUUCUCUAUUUCUUAUUGUGUUGAUUAUAGGGUUUAAUCAAGAUCAUUAAAAUUCCUUGAGAGAGAGAGAGAAAUCUAAGGAAAUUUACCAUUGUCAAACCAGUGUCACCCUGUUUUACAACUUAAAGCUACCAUCUUAACUUUCAAAAUAUUAUUGUUAAAGUUUUAAAUUUUAUUUCCAAAUUUGCUGCUAACAUAUGAUUAAGGCUUUGGUUUUGAAUUGGAUGCAAAAUAUAAUUAAGGCUUUGGUCAUUAAUUUCCUUUGAAGCACUAUUUGUGUGAUUUGUUUGGAGGAGAACAGGGAGUUGGUUAUUAAUUUGAGUAUGAGUGUGGGUUUAUUUAUGUAAAUCUGAAUGUAUAUGUCAAUUGCAAAUAUGACUGCAUUUUUUCUUUGAGAAAAUUAUUGUUGAUGAGAAAUGGUGAUUUUAAAGAGUUGGGAGUUUGGUCUUGCAAAAUCAAAGAACCAAAAAGAUACUGUUACAUGGUACUAUACUUAACCUCCAUGUCUCUCUCUCUCAAAUAUCUCUCUAUAAUUUCAUUCAAUUUAAAGUUUUGUUCAUCUUCUUAUGCAAAAACUAAUAAUAGGAGCCCUUCAUUCCAGGUUGAUAUGAAAGGUUUGGAUGGAAUACUAGGAGCUAGCUAUGUUGGGAUAGAAAUCAUUCUAUAAUUAUGAUGCUCCUAAAGCUAAGAAGCCAAUAACAAGAACAUCCAACUAUUUGCAAAGGUGGUGUUGUUGAUGUUGUAGAUAGAGGAAAAGGAAGGUUAUAAGAAGCCUAUAUAUGAGAUAAAGAAAGGGUGGAGAGAAGGAUUGAUUUGGUCUAUGGAGGUGGGAAAGUGGGAUUGAUGGGUCUUGUUUCUCAGGCAGUUCAUGAUGGUGGGCGCCAUGUUCUAGGGUUCAUGAUUGUAGUGUCAGUACACCGGGACUUAAAGUUAGAAAGAUUGAGAUAGAAAGGUGGAAGGAAGAGUACGGCCAAAUGUUUCCUAUAGUUGGGAGUGGUAGAUUUAUCACAGCGCCCGUAAUCACUGAAGAUGGUCAACCCAUUCAAGAUCCAUUAGUGCUUUUAUAAACAAACCCAGACAAGGGACAGGCUUUACCUCCUGAUGACAAUGGUGGGGUAAAUGUUAGAGGCAAUGGUUUGGAAACAGUGAAGGAUAAGAAAGCAAUCCAGUGGAUGCUGACUCUGCAUCAAAUAGGAAGAAGAUUCCUUGCAGGUUGCUUUAACAGGAGUUAUAGUUUUCACAUCCACUCCAGACAAAGAAUCAAACAAGUACUAUCUUGGACCUGCACCAUUGGAGGAAAUGGCCAGGUUGGCACUUGGCACACGAUAUACGCAUGAUCAUUUGAAUGUACAUUCUAUUCUUUAGAGGUCAGGAUAUACAAUUUUUUUUUUUUUUUUUUUUUUUUUGAGAAGGAGGUCAGGAUAUACAUGAUCUUAGAACUGGUCAACUAUUUUAACAUUUUGAAAUUGAAUUUUUUUUCAAAAUAACAAUAAAUAUUAAAAAAUUUAGUUAAUUGUCAAGUUUCAAAACAAUGUCGAAAACUAACAUCUCGAGUGUCUAAAACUCGAGUUCCGAGAUAAAAAUCGAGUUUUUAAGUCUAGAUUUGUAUGUGGAUUACGCUAAAGUGGGUAAAAAUCAAGCUGAAAAUUGAGUUUUAAAGACUCGAUUUCCACAAAUUGAAUAAAAACGCUGCUAUAGGUCUAUAAAACGUCACUAUAGGGCUUAAAAACUCCACUAUAGGACUCCUAAACCUAUACUUACAAAAAAAAUUUUGCAGGAAAACGCCGCUAUAGGGCUUUAAAACGUCACUGUAAGACUUAAAAACGCCACUAUAGGUGAAAUUUUUUUUGCAUGAAACUCGAGUUUUAAAGACUCGAGAUCUACGUGGCAUUUUCACACUCGCAAGGCGAGUCUUUUGAACUCGAGUUCUAAUAGGAUCUCGAGUUUCUAAAACUUGAGAUGCUAUUUUCCUUUAUUGUUUCAAACGUUGUCUAACUAACUAUAUACAAUCCUUUUGCACUACUAUUUUGCACAUUACCUCUUUUGAAAUUGCAUUAGUAUUACUAGCUAGUUUCCAAAAGAACCACGUAAUAUAAUCACAGAGCCUAAUGGUCAAUGGAAACUAGCUUAUUUGGUGUCAUUUACUUUAGGCCCAGUUCCCAUCAAAUCUCUCCUAAGGCCCAGGAACUUAAUAGCAUUUUAUGCACAUUGGGCUGUUCCUGGUCUGAUAACUUUAGGCCUAUAUCUCAAAUGGGGCCAAACUUGGGUUUGACCACCUCCAUAGCUCAUUGAAGAUGGACUAUUACCCAACUUUUAAUGAAUAAAACUAAUCACUGGGCUUAUUAAUUCAAACAAAUUCAAAUGAUUGUUCAUCCAUAUUGUUAAUAAAUUUAUUUCAACAAUUUUGAUCUACGAGUUAGUCUCAAUGAUAUAUACAAAAAUGGAAGAAACCUAUUUCCUGCGUUUUACUAAACUCAUUUUUUGUCCCUAGGAAAAAAAAUUAAAUUUACAAAAAAUCCAACUUAAUAUUUUACCUUUCUUUCUUUUUCAUUGGAUUUAUUUUUUAAUUACAAAAAUCCAACUACUGGUCCUCCACAUGUAAAAUGUUUUUUAAGACUCUAGGGAAAAAAAAAUCGGAUGGUGACAUUGGAAUAUAUACAUUAAUUUUGAUGUGGUGACUUGGGAAUAUUUAGGGAAAUAGAAUUAUUUUUAUAUUUCAUUCAAUCUAGCUUAUCUUCUAGUUAAUUAAUUAAAUAUUCAUCAUGGACCAUCCAAUAUCCAUUAGUUUUACAAUGCCAUUGCCUUAGGCCCUCAUGUCCUUCUUAUGUAAAAGUGUAAACCCUAGGGGAAUGAAUUUAUAUUUUAAUUUGUAGCGCCCAGAUAAGCCUACUAUUCAUAAAAAAUAGAUUAUUUGCCUUAAAUAAUAUUAACACUUGAGGGUUACUACUAAUUUAAACUUAGUAGUCCUCUUUUAAACUAUCCAUUUCGUAAAUCUUAAAUUGUCAUGGGUUUGAUUAGAUA
This is an RNA transcript of Quercus robur (English oak), 4595 nucleotides long. RefSeq lists it as uncharacterized. NCBI's taxonomy places the organism in Eukaryota, Viridiplantae, Streptophyta, Magnoliopsida, Fagales, Fagaceae. The transcript is spliced from 8 exons. The record is from RefSeq and is a predicted model, not a curated record.